AUCUCUUGCUUCUCCCUGUGCACACGGAACAGAAACCCUGCUGCCGUUUGCCCUUUCCCUGCCGCGCCGCGCCUGUCUUUUAUCUCGUAUCGGAAGUGCCCAAUUUUCAGCAAGCAGCACGGGACCGGGGGACACUGUUUCUUGCGCCGUUAAGCUUUGCGGCUUCUCUCUUGCCGCUCACAUGCGCUGCCCUGACCCCGCUCGUGUCUCUGCUUCUCACUGAGCGCGCUGUCGAUCCUUAUCUUUCCCUCCAUCAUAUAUUACACACACACACACACAUACAUAUAUAUAUAUAUAUAUAUUCGGCCUUGCCACUUUCAAUCGCCCUUUUGGUCCUGCCGUCUCCAUCCCUUUGUUUGCCAGCAUACUUCUUUACCUCACUCGAUUACUUACACUUGCUUCCCUCCCCUCCCACCCGAACAACGUCGCCACUGCCCUGCCACAUUCGCUCCAGGAGGAGACUUGAACAUGGUUGCGCCGCGCAUUCAUACACGCACGAUUACAGAAUUACAACGUGGGGGGAUUGAGCUGUCGUUGUCUUCUUUUUUUCUUGUUUGCUUCGGUUGGUGUCGCUUUCAGCGUCACGUGUUCUGUGCUCCCCCCUCCCCCCUCCGCUGCAGUAAUGGACAUGCCACGCUCGUCUCGACACGGCGCCACCAAGGAGUCGGCGACGGGCUCCUCGUCCGUCACGACACAGCGUGUCGGGAGCAGCCUAUAUCUCGGGCCAGAGAUGGCGCCGGAGGAGGCCGACAGAAGAUCGGCGCACCCCAGGAAGAGUAUGACGACGCCGCGCGAGCAGCUGCUCUACCUGCAAGCCCUUUACCCGUACGCCGCUUAUGAUGAGCUCAUGGCGGUAAUUAGCAACACCGACGGCGCAGACGAGGCAGCGGAGCGCGCCUACGAGGCACUGAACCCCGACUACAACGGUUUCGCGUAUCUCAAAGAGCAGCACGACCUCUUCACGAGCGAAAAACUACCGAGCGCCAAACGGGCAACGGCGUUCGCGGGCUUGAAGGAGUCGCUGGAGGAGCGGGCGGCCUCCGCCUUUCGGCCUGGGCACUUUGGCAAUCUCUCGCAGCUGCAGGAGUACCACGACACGGUGGGGCUCUUCAUCGUGGACACAUCAGAUUGGGACCGCGCGACGCUGCUGCCCUCGCGCGACUUAGCGGAGAUGGCGUUCAUGGACCUCCCUCUACUCGAGGAGCCGACUAGUUACGAGGCAGCCACGGCCACGAUCAACGGUGACAGCAACGACGUCAAUGGCCUGAGACGUGAGAGCUGGUCGCAGGUGUGCAGCACCUCGCUCGCCGCAUCUAACAACGGGACCUGCUUCCUGGACCUGCAGCCGAGCAGCAAGCUGCACCCCGUCAGCAACACCGCGUCCGCUUCGCUAUCGGGAGGAAAUACCGACAAACGCUCUCGUGCGUCGUCGCGUGGUGCAUCCGAAGAGCGACCAGCGGGUGGGCUCAACGGUAGCGGUGCCGCUGGUGACGGCGGGGACAGCGCCGCCGCGAGCGUCGUGUAUGUGCAGCGCAACGACCCACCACGUGCAGCACCGAUUAUAGCGUGGGCACCUGAGGCAAUCCGUGUGGGUCCGGCUGAGGCGCGACGGGAGUGCGAAGGCAUUCUGCACGUUUUCGACGAAGCAACCUUCAAGAACCCGCUGCUGCGGUUAGCGACGCCGCCGCCAGCUUCAACUGGGGUCUUGCCACAUGCGCAUAUGUCUCGGCCGGAAAGCGCCGCGGCAGCGCGGUUGGCGGCUGAAGGCGAAGCCCACGAGCCUGUCGUGAACGGUCUGGUUGGUAGCCAGACAAGCGCCUUGGCUGCUCCGCCAUCCCCGCAGAUGACCUAUCCAUCGUUCGUGGGGGAGGAGAGCGAGGCCCACGAGCCGUUUGAUCCGGGCUCCAGCGUGGCGCCUAACUGUGGCAGCGGUGACAAGGUCAACGACGCGAACGCCGAGGAGUUGCUCAGCGCACAGGCGUCAUUCGCAUUGCAAUCUCACCACCGCAGACGCACCUGCUUACCCAAACCCUAUGCGGACAGGCAACCCGGCGCGACCGCGAACACGAGCACGGCCUACGGCGCCACCAACGGGACACGUCAGAUCUCGGGCGACGACGACAACGCGGCCUCCUCCAAUGCGCUGAGCGCGCAGUCCAGCAUGCGGGAUGCGGCCCGCAAAACGCUCAAGGGGCGCAAGCCGCAUCCUCUCACGACUUCGGAGACGGUGUGGCAGCGCAUCCGCAGCCGGACUUCAAUAGGCAACUUGAUUUUUCGUGCGACUUCCCAGCACACGCCCGUGCUGUCGCCGAGGCAGAAGAAGAGCAGCAACGGUCGCCCCAACGUGGUAUGCUCGCCAGGGUUUGCUCUGCCGCGAGCCGCUGCCCGCAACGAGGCAAGUGCGCUGAACGGCACAGCUCAGAGCACCGAACGGCAGCAGGCAGCGCACAACAGCUGUGAGGAUAUACCAGUCGAGGGCAGUGGCGCGGAUGACGGUGAUGCGGGCGCGCCGCACGACGAGCGACCAUCCAACGCGGGAACGCUGGCCAUUCCUGCCGCGCACAGUGGAUGCUCAAGCUUAGACCCCGUAACCUUCCUGAACGCCGAGGAGGAGCGCUGGGGCACCAUAGCGACGAUGCUGGCUCCAUACGAGGAGGUGUUCGGCUCCAAGUCUCGCUGUGCGCUUGUGCGGUGCAUCCACGAUGAGUGCCCCAAGCUGCGUGACAACGCCACAGUCAUUCUGCAGCGGCUGCUGCACGUGCUCGGGAAGGCGCUAUGUGGCAAAGAGCUGGUGGAGGGCAUGACGGAGGAACCGGUGGAGGUACCCUUGCUCGGCCCGAUUCUGCUCUCCACCUCACCUAUCAAGCUGACCGAGCUCAGCUUCCGCGAGGACAAGUGUUCUAUCGAGUUUUGCGAGGAUGGAACACGACUGCAGGCGAAGCUUAACCUAAAGGCGAUGUCGCUGGAGGCGAUCCAGUUUGCGUACAUUGGUGAAGCCGAUGCCGCCCGGCAAGCACGCACGGCGCAGCAUUCGCAGCGACGAAUACCGGGGUCUUACUGGCGUGCGGCGGCGCGUACGCGGCGUGGCAGUGAACAAGACCAGUACACCACGGGUGUUACGCGCGGCACCGCCACAAUCAAGGCUGCCAAUGUCCGCGUGAAAGGAAGGGUGUGCAUAUGGCUGAUGACCUCCGGCAAAAUGCAUGCUGCCUUUCAAAAGACGACCGUCUCUGUGGGUUCCUUCCGGGUGUCAACAACAGUGAGGAAGCUAAACGUCUUGUGCACCCUCGGUGCACCUAUUUUGCGGCUAAUGGUGCAGCGCGGCAUUAAGCAGGUGCUGCAAAGCGGGCACAGCCUGUGACGUCUGCGUGCGUGCCAUAUGCUGCAGACCGUGACACACACUAAGCGACUCUUGCCAUUUUCUUCUGUCCUUUUAGAUUGUGUGUGUGUGUGUGCAUGAAAAGGGUUGUCACGGUGCGUCACUUGCGGCUUGCCUUUGCUCAGCCCUGCGGUGCACGGAGGUACACCCGCACGCGCUGAAAGGCGACAAACGCGAAAGAAAAGCCCCGUUUCCUACGACUCCUUUAAGGCUGCCGCAGCCACUGCAUCCCACCUCACCGAUCACGCGCGCAAAUGGCGGGAAGAGGGGCGGCCAUGCAGAGGCAGCAAGUAAAUUUGACGUGAACCUAUGCAACGGACUGUAGGACAGCAUGCGACAACACAGCGCCGUCGGCUCGCUGCCUCUUUGCCUCUACGGUCCCUUUUUUACUUUUUGUUUUCGAGCGCAUCUCUGAUUCCCCAGGGAGGCGGUGUGGGCUGCACGCCAACCGGCCCGAAUCGCAGCCAUGUGCGCCCGCAGCG
Molecule: unclassified non-coding RNA, 3861 nt
Filed under: Leishmania donovani
Lineage: Eukaryota; Euglenozoa; Kinetoplastea; Trypanosomatida; Trypanosomatidae
Description: gene:LdHU3.27.1350(CDS-product:hypothetical_prote in_conserved)
Source: RNAcentral